GAGUUUGAUGAUGGCUCUGAGUGAACGCUAUCCAAAUGCUUGACACAUGCUAAUCGAACGACAUUGUACCUUGAGUGCAGUGUAGUGGUGUACAGGUGAGUACAGGGUAAUAUGACCACCUUGGAGUGAGGAGAAAGAUCCCUUAUAAUUUUGCGUUUGCAAAAGAAAGAAGCCAUAGCUUUGCUCUUAGAAGUCUAUAUCUCGUGUAUGGUAGUAGUUAAGUUUCAAUUAACAUAACUAGCUAUAUAUACGUAGUCGUAACUGGAAGGUUGAUCGACCACAGUGGGCCUGAACAAAGCCCACGAUGAUUAUUACAGCAGUGAGGAAUAUUGGUCAAUAGCCUAACGGCUGAACCAGCAACUUGGAGGAAUGUAUAGCUACGGCUAAUUGUGUAUAUCUACACGAUAUCGACUCUGUCGAAUAAAAUUCUGGGUAAAUUAUGAUGAUGACAUUUUUUACCUAUGUGUCUUGACCAAAUUGUGUGCCAGCAGUCGCGGUAAUACAUAGAAGACUAGUGUUAUUCAUCUUUAAUAGGUUUAAAGGGUACCUAGACGGUAGAUCAAGCCCUAGACGGGACUAAUUUGCUAGAGUUACUUAUGAGGGGGCUUUAAAGUACUAAUGGUGUAGAGAUAAAAUUUUGUAAUACCAUUUUUCGUAAAGAAAAAUUAUGGCACUGGUAAAGGUGAAAGCAUCCCCCUAUGUGAUAACUGACGUUGAAGGACGAAGGCUUUGGGUCGCGAAUAGGAUUAGAUACCCUAGUAGUCAAAGCAGAAAAUUAUGAGUGUCAUAGAUUAGAUAAUACAGUUUAUUCUAUAAAUGAAAGUGUAAGCACUCCACCUCAAGAGUAAUUUGGCAACAUUGGAACUGAAAUCAUUAGACCGUUUCUGAAACCAGUAGUGAAGUAUGUUGUUUAAUUCGAUGAUCCGCGAAAAACCUUACCACAAUUUGAAUAUGUAUACUUUUGAUAUAUUUACAAGCGUUGCACGGCUGUCUUCAGUUAAUGUCGUGAGACUUUGGUUAGAUCCAUUAAAUUAACGUAAGCCCUUACUUUAUUUUCAUAUAAAGUAGUUCUCCACCAUAUUGGACAAGAUAACAGGGACUAAGACAAGUCAUCAUGGCCUGAAUAUUGUGGGCUAUAGACGUGCCACAUAAACCUCUACAAAGGGAUGUGAAAUUGCGAAAUUAAACUAAUCCCCCAAAACUGGAUAUAAUAUCAAUGGAUUGUAGUCUGUAACUCGACUGCGUGAAAAAGGAAUUACUAGUAAUCGUGUAUAAGUACGGCACGGUGAAUUUUAUCUCAGAUAGGUACUAACUACUCGUCAGGCGCUGAAAGAAGUAUGUGCAAUAAGUUUGGCUAGUGCUUAUUUUUAAUUUAGACGAUUUGGUCUAAAAACUUAGGUAUGUUGUUUUCGUAUGCGUGACUUUGAUUGGUGUUAAGUCGAAAUACGGUUCGUGUAGUGGAAAUUGC
Molecule: ribosomal RNA, 1468 nt
Filed under: Ramalina intermedia
Lineage: Eukaryota; Fungi; Ascomycota; Lecanoromycetes; Lecanorales; Ramalinaceae
Description: SSU rRNA
Rfam family: Bacterial small subunit ribosomal RNA
Source: RNAcentral